This 113-nucleotide small nuclear RNA is filed under the name Mus spicilegus (steppe mouse). The record is from RNAcentral. Lineage: Eukaryota; Metazoa; Chordata; Mammalia; Rodentia; Muridae.
CUGCUGGCUUCAGCAGUACAUAUAAAAAAAAAAACGUAACAACACAAUUGAGAAGAUUAGCAUGGUCCCUGAGCAAGGAUGACAUGCAAAUUCUUGACACAUUCCUUAUUUUU